This is a long non-coding RNA of Daphnia pulex (common water flea), 874 nucleotides long. RefSeq lists it as uncharacterized. NCBI's taxonomy places the organism in Eukaryota, Metazoa, Arthropoda, Branchiopoda, Diplostraca, Daphniidae. The record is from RefSeq and is a predicted model, not a curated record. The transcript has 2 exons.
ACAAUAUUAAAAAUCUAACAAGUGAGCUUUGUUGUCGGAACAGAAACUGACAGUUAUCACCCAAAAGUUUGUUUGUAAUAGCAGCGAGAAACAAAGUAAGCGUAACUAAACUGAGUGGAAAAUGAUAUCAAAAGCUAUGCUGUCCAGCGUCAGAAAGAAGAAACGUUUGACAGUACGAUGAAAACAAUGUCCAAUCCAAUCUCGCUUGUUGAGUCGUUGAUACUCAAUUAAAAGAACUAACAAAUAAGGGCAAAUAACUGUGAUACUCACGUAAUAUUCAUCCCUGCAAAUUUGUAUCACGUCUUCGCAGCACAUCACAACAGACGAAAUCCCCAAGGUUUCGAUGGCCAUUGUGAUGUUCGGUUGUUACUGGAGAUGCUGCCCAAUGAGGAGAUGGUGAAAGGUGUGUUUAAAGCUGUUGCUGCUGCUGUCCUUGGUGUCACAAUUCAGUGUGUUGUUCGUUAGUUUGUCUGUCCUGUCAAAUCUUUUCCAUCACUGUAGUCACUCAAAUCUCAUCCAUGCAGUAUACAAUGGAGACAAUGUGAUCUUACAUGAUAUAGGAGUGAUUCAAGUCAACUACUCCUAGAUUGAAAAACUUUCUAUGCCCAACAAAUAACAACGCUGUGUUAUUAUCGCGGUUGAGAAAGCAUCAGGCCCCCUGCCAUCCAAUAAAAUUAUGGGUCUUUUGUUUAAUUUAAUUGCUUGGUGCAGUAUUAUGUUGUAUGAAAAUGAAAACAAAAAACAGAAGAAGAAAGUAACAGAUGAAGAAAAUAAGUUGGGAUAUUUAAGAUUUAUAUAUAACACUGUAUUUUGAAAAUAUAACUUUAGAAGCUUAUGUGGACACUAUUACAAUACAAUGUUUAUCAUCCCUCUA